GCGCAGCAGGCGCGAAACCUCCGCAAUACACGAAAGUGUGACGGGGCCAUCCCGAGUGCCGUCCGCUGAGGACGGCUUUUCCCCAGUGUACACAGCUGGGGGAAUAAGGAGAGGGCAAGCCUGGUGUCAGCCGCCGCGGUAAUACCAGCUCUCCGAGUGGUGGGGACGCUUAUUGGGCCUAAAGCAUCCGUAGCCGGCUGGGCAAGUCCUCCGUUAAAUCCAACGAUUCAAUCGUUGGGCUGCGGGGGAUACUGUCCAGCUUGGGGGCGGGAGAGGCCGACGGUAUUCCCGGGGUAGGGGUGAAAUCCUAUAAUCCCGGGAGGACCACCAGUGGCGAAGGCUGUCGGCUAGAACGCGCCCGACGGUGAGGGAUGAAAGCUGGGGGAGCGAACCGGAUUAGAUACCCCCGUAGU
Molecule: ribosomal RNA, 413 nt
Filed under: uncultured microorganism
Description: bacterial SSU rRNA
Rfam family: Archaeal small subunit ribosomal RNA
Source: RNAcentral